GAUGAACGCUGGCGGCGUGCCUAAUACAUGCAAGUCGAGCGAACAGACGAGGAGCUUGCUCCUCUGACGUUAGCGGCGGACGGGUGAGUAACACGUGGAUGACCUACCUAUAAGACUGGGAUAACUUCGGGAAACCGGAGCUAAUACCGGAUAAUAUAUUGAACCGCAUGGUUCAAUAGUGAAAGACGGUUUUGCUGUCACUUAUAGAUGGAUCCGCGCCGCAUUAGCUAGUUGGUAAGGUAACGGCUUACCAAGGCAACGAUGCGUAGCCGACCUGAGAGGGUGAUCGGCCACACUGGAACUGAGACACGGUCCAGACUCCUACGGGAGGCAGCAGUAGGGAAUCUUCCGCAAUGGGCGAAAGCCUGACGGAGCAACGCCGCGUGAGUGAUGAAGGUCUUCGGAUCGUAAAACUCCGUUAUUAGGGAAGAACAAAUGUGUAAGUAACUAUGCACGUCUUGACGGUACCUAAUCAGAAAGCCACGGCUAACUACGUG
This 497-nucleotide ribosomal RNA is filed under the name uncultured bacterium. RNAcentral's name for it is "partial 16S ribosomal RNA". It matches the Rfam family "Bacterial small subunit ribosomal RNA", at positions 28 to 507 of the family's 1533-position model. The record is from RNAcentral.